GUCUGGCUGCUCGUUUGCUUUCUUGCACGGUGCAAAAGACAACCCUUAUUUUUUCGUACCCGGUCUACCGCCCUAUCUCUUCCCUUCCUUAUCCCUCUCCUAUCCUCCCCUUUUUCUUUUUUUCUAUUAUUUUUUUUCCUUUCUUUACCUCGAGCUGCAGGUUGCAACAAGGCUGCACGGCAUUUAACCCCACAUAGGUCGCGUAUCGUAUACGUCGAAGUCGAAGGAGGUGAGUUGCUAGGUCGAAGACCGUGCGGCUACCACCUGGCAGGCAAGCUUGUUAAAUUUAUUUCUUCAAUGGAACUCUGCUCUGUGCAUGCACGAUAUCGACGAGUUCUAUGCCUCUCCCCUAAUUCUCCAUCUACGACUGAUAUGGUAUUUCAUGUGCUCCGAUGCGUCAGCCCUGGAUAAUGUUCGGCACGGACUAAAAUUUAUGUUUAUCGCGGGGGAGUACGAGAACGAGCUUCGAGUGAAUACUGGGAAUUUUAAUUUCAAUAUAAGUAUAAGGAAAUAGCAACUCCUACAUAAUUCUUCAUUUCUCGUUAACGUUGGAUGGAUGUAACGUAAAGGAAAAAAGAA
Long non-coding RNA from Vespa mandarinia (Asian giant hornet), 579 nucleotides. The record is from RefSeq and is a predicted model, not a curated record. NCBI's taxonomy places the organism in Eukaryota, Metazoa, Arthropoda, Insecta, Hymenoptera, Vespidae.